UGGGGAAUUUUGGACAAUGGGGGCAACCCUGAUCCAGCAAUGCCGCGUGUGUGAAGAAGGCCUUCGGGUUGUAAAGCACUUUUGUCCGGGAAGAAAUCCCCUGCCCUAAUACGGCGGGGGGAUGACGGUACCGGAAGAAUAAGCACCGGCUAACUACGUGCCAGCAGCCGCGGUAAUACGUAGGGUGCGAGCGUUAAUCGGAAUUACUGGGCGUAAAGCGUGCGCAGGCGGUGAUGUAAGACCGAUGUGAAAUCCCCGGGCUCAACCUGGGAACUGCAUUGGUGACUGCAUUGCUCGAGUAUGGCAGAGGGGGGUGGAAUUCCACGUGUAGCAGUGAAAUGCGUAGAGAUGUGGAGGAACACCGAUGGCGAAGGCAGCCCCCUGGGCCAAUACUGACGCUCAUGCACGAAAGCGUGGGGAGCAAACAGGAUUAGAUACCCUGGUAGUCCACGCCCUAAACGAUGUCAACUGGUUGUCGGGCCUUCAUUGGCUUGGUAACGUAGCUAACGCGUGAAGUUGACCGCCUGGGGAGUACGGUCGCAAGAUUAAAACUCAAAUGAAUUGACGGGGUCAUAGCUGUUUCCU
RNAcentral lists this ribosomal RNA (585 nucleotides) under uncultured bacterium. RNAcentral's name for it is "partial 16S ribosomal RNA". It matches the Rfam family "Bacterial small subunit ribosomal RNA", at positions 355 to 1375 of the family's 1533-position model. The record is from RNAcentral.